RNAcentral lists this ribosomal RNA (1356 nucleotides) under uncultured bacterium. Its description in RNAcentral is "bacterial SSU rRNA". It matches the Rfam family "Bacterial small subunit ribosomal RNA", at positions 28 to 1398 of the family's 1533-position model. The record is from RNAcentral.
GAUGAACGCUAGCGGCAGGCCUAAUACAUGCAAGUCGAACGGGUGGUAGCAAUACCACUAGUGGCGCACGGGUGCGUAACGCGUAACCAACCUACCUGGAUCUGGGGGAUAGCCCGCCGAAAGGCGGAUUAAUACCGCAUACGCCCGGUUUCUGGCAUCAGAAGCUGGGGAAAGAUUUAUUGGAUUCAGAUGGGGUUGCGUAGCAUUAGCUAGUUGGCGGGGUAGAGGCCCACCAAGGCGACGAUGCUUAGGGGACCUGAGAGGGUGAUCCCCCACACUGGCACUGAGAUACGGGCCAGACUCCUACGGGAGGCAGCAGUAGGGAAUAUUGGGCAAUGGGCGAGAGCCUGACCCAGCCAUGCCGCGUGCCGGAUGAAGGCCUUCUGGGUUGUAAACGGCUUUUCUCAGGGAAGAAAAAGAGGAUGCGUCCUAAACUGACGGUACCUGAGGAAUAAGCACCGGCUAACUCCGUGCCAGCAGCCGCGGUAAUACGGAGGGUGCAAGCGUUGUCCGGACUUAUUGGGUUUAAAGGGUGCGUAGGUGGCCUUGCAAGUCCGUGGUGAAAGCCUGCUGCUCAACAGCAGAACUGCCAUGGAUACUACAGGGCUUGAGUCCAGACGAGGUUGGCGGAAUGGAAGAUGUAGCGGUGAAAUGCAUAGAUAUCUUCCAGAACCCCGAUUGCGUAGGCAGCUGACUAGGCUGGUACUGACACUGAGGCACGAAAGCGUGGGGAGCGAACAGGAUUAGAUACCCUGGUAGUCCACGCCGUAAACGAUGGAUACUCGUUGCUAGCGAUACACCGUUAGUGACUUAGCGAAAGCGUUAAGUAUCCCACCUGGGGAGUACGCUCGCAAGAGUGAAACUCAAAGAAAUUGACGGGGGCCCGCACAAGUGGUGGAGCAUGUGGUUUAAUUCGAUGAUACGCGAGGAACCUUACCUAGGCUAGAAUGCGCGUGACCGGUUCAGAGAUGAGCCUUUCCUUCGGGACACAAAGCAAGGUGCUGCAUGGCCGUCGUCAGCUCGUGCCGUGAGGUGUUGGGUUAAGUCCCGCAACGAGCGCAACCCCUAUGGUUAGUUGCCAGCACGUAAUGGUGGGGACUCUAGCCAGACUGCCUGCGCAAGCAGUGAGGAAGGCGGGGACGACGUCAGGUCAUCAUGGCCCUUACGCCUAGGGCUACACACGUGCUACAAUGGACGGUACAGAGGGUCGCUACACUGCGAAGUGAUGCCAAUCUCAUAAAGCCGUUCUCAGUUCGGAUCGGAGUCUGCAACUCGACUCCGUGAAGCUGGAAUCACUAGUAAUCGCGUAUCAGCAAUGACGCGGUGGAUACGUUCCCGGGCCUCACACCGCCCGUC